Molecule: unclassified non-coding RNA, 345 nt
Filed under: soil metagenome
Description: partial contains 5.8S ribosomal RNA, internal transcribed spacer 2, and large subunit ribosomal RNA
Rfam family: 5.8S ribosomal RNA (bases 1-120)
Source: RNAcentral
GAUGAAGAACGCAGCGAAAUGCGAUAAUUAAUGUGAAUUGCAGAAUUCCGUGAAUCAUCGAGUCUUUGAACGCACAUUGCGCCCCCUGGUAUUCCGGGGGGCAUGCCUGUCCGAGCGUCAUUGCUGCCCUCAAGCACGGCUUGUGUGUUGGGCCUCCGUCCUCCUCCCGGGGGACGGGCCCGAAAGGCAGCGGCGGCACCGCGUCCGGUCCUCGAGCGUAUGGGGCUUCGUCACCCGCUCUUGUAGGCCCGGCCGGCGCUUGCCGACACAUCAAUCUUUUUUCCAGGUUGACCUCGGAUCAGGUAGGGAUACCCGCUGAACUUAAGCAUAUCAAUAAGCGGAGGA